This 247-nucleotide unclassified non-coding RNA is filed under the name Hevea brasiliensis (rubber tree). The record is from RNAcentral. Lineage: Eukaryota; Viridiplantae; Streptophyta; Magnoliopsida; Malpighiales; Euphorbiaceae.
UGAAAUCGAAAUCAAAAUCUGCGUUGACAAUUAGAAUCACUCGUCAUGGUUUGCAUAUAUCAAAAAAAAGAAAAAAGUAUUGAUACGUUGCAACUGUUCUUAACAAUACCUGCUAACAAAUGGUGUAAGAAUAUAUAUAUUUUUUUUUAUACAACUACAAAUUUCAGCUUUCUAUCAAAAAUUUUUGCCUAAUUCAAUUUUUUUCAUCAUUCUAAUUGUGUUAUGCAAAAUUGAAUCCAAAAUCCCA